GAAGACGGUGCGCUAACCCGACCAAGGGGAGGCAGCCGGCCGACGGUAGGGUCGAGGCGACUGGGGUG
RNAcentral lists this ribosomal RNA (68 nucleotides) under uncultured bacterium. Its description in RNAcentral is "partial 16S ribosomal RNA". The record is from RNAcentral.